AUUGAACGCUGGCGGAAUGCUUUACACAUGCAAGUCGAACGGCAGCACGGGGCAACCUGGUGGCGAGUGGCGAACGGGUGAGUAAUACAUCGGAACGUGCCCAAUCGUGGGGGAUAACGUAGCGAAAGUUACGCUAAUACCGCAUACGAUCUACGGAUGAAAGCGGGGGAUCGCAAGACCUCGCGCGAAUGGAGCGGCCGAUGUCAGAUUAGGUAGUUGGUGGGGUAAAGGCUCACCAAGCCGACGAUCUGUAGCUGGUCUGAGAGGACGACCAGCCACACUGGGACUGAGACACGGCCCAGACUCCUACGGGAGGCAGCAGUGGGGAAUUUUGGACAAUGGGCGCAAGCCUGAUCCAGCCAUUCCGCGUGCAGGAUGAAGGCCUUCGGGUUGUUAAAGG
Molecule: ribosomal RNA, 400 nt
Filed under: uncultured bacterium
Lineage: Bacteria
Description: bacterial SSU rRNA
Rfam family: Bacterial small subunit ribosomal RNA
Source: RNAcentral